This 515-nucleotide long non-coding RNA is filed under the name Brachypodium distachyon (stiff brome). RNAcentral describes it as "long non-coding RNA (BDIS_LNC005499)". The record is from RNAcentral. Lineage: Eukaryota; Viridiplantae; Streptophyta; Magnoliopsida; Poales; Poaceae.
CCCCUUCAACAUAACUACGAUUAUACAGAUCAAAAUUUUCUGACAAGUACAGAAGCUACACAGUGAAAUUUUGCACAUUAAACUGGAAUACCCUUGAAACUUCAAAUGGAAUACCACAUUGGCACCGGAAAACUUUUGCAAGCGACAAAUUCUUCAGAUAGAUUAGAAUACACCGAGAAGCGUGGCGGCAGCAAAUAGCAAAAACAAUACUCCUCCCAGCAGGCCAACCUGUUGAGGCACUUUCAUGUAAGUCCUAUGAACUCAAGCCAAGCACCCAAAAAGAUACACAAUAAUGCUCCAAAUAUUUAUGGCUAAAUCGAAACAAGAAGCAACAAGAAUUAGCAAUAUGCCCUCUGCAGCUGCAUUAAAAUUUUGUGCUCGCAACUUACUAAGCAUCUAGAACUAUGCCAAGAUGAAGCAUGUAAAAUCAACCAUACGUAUUUUAGUUGUCUUACCAGCUUCUCAGAUAGGUAGUUAGCAAGGAAUGCUCCCCCAACAAUCGCAAGUAAAGUUGC